AGUGAACGCUGGCGGUAGGCCUAACACAUGCAAGUCGAACGGCAGCACAGUAAGAGCUUGCUCUUACGGGUGGCGAGUGGCGGACGGGUGAGGAAUACAUCGGAAUCUACUUUUUCGUGGGGGAUAACGUAGGGAAACUUACGCUAAUACCGCAUACGACCUACGGGUGAAAGCAGGGGAUCUUCGGACCUUGCGCGAUUGAAUGAGCCGAUGUCGGAUUAGCUAGUUGGCGGGGUAAAGGCCCACCAAGGCGGCGAUCCGUAGCUGGUCUGAGAGGAUGAUCAGCCACACUGGAACUGAGACACGGUCCAGACUCCUACGGGAGGCAGCAGUGGGGAAUGUUGGACAAUGGGCGCAAGCCUGAUCCAGCCAUACCGCGUGGGUGAAGAAGGCCUUCGGGUUGUAAAGCCCUUUUGUUGGGAAAGAAAAGCAGCAGGUUAAUACCCCGCUGUUCUGACGGUACCCAAAGAAUAAGCACCGGCUAACUUCGUG
This 492-nucleotide ribosomal RNA is filed under the name uncultured bacterium. RNAcentral describes it as "partial 16S ribosomal RNA". It matches the Rfam family "Bacterial small subunit ribosomal RNA", at positions 29 to 507 of the family's 1533-position model. The record is from RNAcentral.